UGCAGUCGAGCGAGAAACCCUUUCGGGGGUUAGUAAAGCGGCGGACGGGUGAGUAACACGUGAGAAUUUACCCUUUAGUGAGGAAUACUCUCGAGAAAUCGGGGUUAAUACUGCAUAACUCCCUUCGGGGAAAAAGGUGGCCUCUUGCUGCCGCUAAAGGAUAAGCUUGCGGACUAUUAGCUUGUUGGUAAGGUAAAGGCUUACCAAGGCUUUGAUGGAUAGCCGGCCUGAGAGGGUGAUCGGCCACACUGGAACUUAGAUACGGUCCAGACUCCUACGGGAGGCAGCGGUGGGGAAUAUUGCACAAUGGGCGAAAGCCUGAUGCAGCCAUGCCGCGUGUGUGAAGAAGGCCUUCGGGUUGUAAAGCACUUUCAGUUGUGAGGAAAGGGGUGUAGUUAAUAGCUGCAUUCUGUGACGUUAACAACAGAAGAAGCACCGGCUAACUUCGUGCCAGCAGCCGCGGUAAUACGAGGGGUGCAAGCGUUAAUCGGAAUUACUGGGCGUAAAGCGUUCGUAGGCGGUCUAUUAAGCAAGAUGUGAAAGCCCAGGGCUCAACCUUGGAACUGCAUUUUGAACUGGUAGACUAGAGUACUGUAGAGGGUGGUGGAAUUUCCAGUGUAGCGGUGAAAUGCGUAGAGAUUGGAAGGAACAUCAGUGGCGAAGGCGGCCACCUGGACAGAUACUGACGCUGA
RNAcentral lists this ribosomal RNA (692 nucleotides) under uncultured marine bacterium. RNAcentral describes it as "bacterial SSU rRNA". It matches the Rfam family "Bacterial small subunit ribosomal RNA", at positions 56 to 749 of the family's 1533-position model. The record is from RNAcentral.